This 1944-nucleotide long non-coding RNA is filed under the name Junco hyemalis (dark-eyed junco). RNAcentral describes it as "lncRNA (ENSJHYG00000000548.1)". Lineage: Eukaryota; Metazoa; Chordata; Aves; Passeriformes; Passerellidae. The record is from RNAcentral.
CCAUGGAGUGCCAUGGACUGGGCACAAAUCUUUGCCUCCUUUCCAUGAGCCAUUGGGAGCCAAAACAAACCCAGGGAUGGGGUGAGAAGGUAAAAUUCAAGCAGAGCCUCUUACCGUGGAGAGGGACAAACUGAGCCCUGGGGCGUUGCAGCAUUUCUCUUCUUUUCCACUCGAAAUUUCGCUCGGGCUCUUCGUUUUCGUUUGCAUUUCUUGUACCUUGCCAUUACUGGGGAAAAAGACACAUUGCAAAUGGAUGUAGAGAGAUAAAUCAAAUUAUGCAUUGGGACAGAGCUGCCACCAAAGACAAUAGCACAGGCAGCACCUCAGAAAUGCAGCCAGAGGUUACUCACAGCUGCCUUGGUGGAAUUAUCAUGGACCAGUGAUAGAAAAUAUAUCCUUAAUUUCAUAUGAUCCAUAGGGAUGUGUCUGCACACAGAAAGCAUCACUUUAUAUGGGCUUAUUCCUGCCCUUUUCUAUUUGUAAAAUAGAUAGCACUAACAGUUAUUAUAAAUAUAAUAAAAAUAUGAAUAGUUAAAUAAGUACACAUGAAAAACAUUAUAAAUAAUACUAUAAAUAAGUGUAAAUAUACAAGAAAGUGAUUAGAAAUAUUAUCAACUAAAUAGAAACGCUGCAACUAUUAAUAUGUAAGCACAAUAAAAAUAAACGGAUGUUCAGUUUUUCGUUACGCUGGCGUGCCAAGCACGGAAUUUGGGGAAAACGACGCUUGGGGAGAACGGUGACAAAAGCCACGGAGAAGCCACGGAAGGAUGCGGGGGCGGCGCGGGCCGGUCCCUGACCGGUGAUCGGUGACACCCCAGCCCCGCUCACCCGGGACCCCGCACCGAGAGCGGGAUGUCUCUGUCACUCACUCACACACACACCUGCACACACACACCUGCACACACACACCUGCACACACACACCUGCACACACCUGUGGGGGUGUCCCGGGGGUGUCCCGGGGCCGCCCCGUCCCCCGGGCCGCGCUCCGCGCCCGCCGCCGCCGCCGAUUCAAACCGCUCCCCGCGCCGCGCCCAGCCAAUGGCAGCGCCGCUCUCUGCCGGCCCCCCCACGCGCCGCAUGUAAGCCGCGCUCUGAUUGGCUGCCGCGCCGAGGCGCGCCCGCGCUCCACGGGAGAGGGGCCGGCAGUGCCCCGCCCCGGCCCGGCCGCGCUGAGGCGAGCGGCGCCGCCAUUGGACGAGCGCGCUCGGUGCCGCCAAUCGGCUGCGGGCAGCGCUCGGCUGGGGAAGGCCGGCGGGGUGAACCGGGCGAGGAGCGGCCCCACCGGGGCUACCGGAGCGACCGGGAGAGAACCGGGGAGGCGGAGCGGCGGCGCCGCCCCCUCAGGGCCGCAGCGGACCGGCCCGCACCGCUUCCCGCCAGCGCCGCGCGCCCCGCCCCGGCCAAUCACGGCCGGAGCCCACUCCGGGCCAAUGGGCUCGGCCGUACCUCGGAGCGGGUUUACAUUCUCCGCUGGCCAAUGGCGAGCGCGCCCCGCGAGGCGCCAGCCAAUGGGAUGCGCACGGCGAGUGACAGCUGGCCAAUGGGAGCCGCCGACUCUCCCGUGCCGCGGCGCGGGGGGUGGGGAUCUCCCCGCCGCCGCCUGAGGAAUGUCAACUAUUCAACAUGGAGACGGCGGUUACCAGGCUCGAGACCCUGCUGUUAUGGAAAAUGUGCUGGAGGUGUGUGGAGCAUCAUCCAUCCCCCUCAGAAAUGGGAUUUUAUUGCAGAUCUAACCCUGCUCCUUCAGGCUGCAUCUCCAAACUCCCAAAGGCAUCCGUGGCCAUUCCUCAAGGCUUGUGAAAAAUUUAAAUUUUUAAAAGUUUAAUAGUAAUUGAAUGGUUAGAAAAAUAGUAAUGCCAUUAGAGUAAUUAUAAUUUGGACAAUUUGAAUGAGGACAAUAUGAGGCAAUAAAUACAAAGAGUUUUGGAUGUCUGGGUACCUU